GACGAACGCUGGCGGCGUGCUUAACACAUGCAAGUCGAACGGACGAGUGAGAUAAGUUUACUUAACUCACAAGUUAGUGGCGGACGGGUGAGUAACACGUGGAUAAUCUACCUGCAACACCGGGAUAACGCUGUGAAAACGGUGCUAAUACCGGAUACGUUCCCUUGUGCGCAUGUAUGAGGGAAGAAAGCUCAGGCGGUUGCAGAUGAGUCCGCGGCUGAUUAGCUAGUUGGUGAGGUAAAGGCUCACCAAGGCGAUGAUCAGUAGCCGGCCUGAGAGGGUGAACGGCCACACUGGGACUGAGACACGGCCCAGACUCCUACGGGAGGCAGCAGUGGGGAAUCUUCCGCAAUGGGCGCAAGCCUGACGGAGCAACGCCGCGUGGGUGAAGAAGGCCUCGGUUGUAAGCCUGUCUUAUGGAAGAAGUCAGUGACGGUACCAUAGGAGGAAGCCACGGCUAACUAACGUGCCAGCAGCCGCGGUAAAGUACUCUA
RNAcentral lists this ribosomal RNA (494 nucleotides) under uncultured bacterium. RNAcentral's name for it is "bacterial SSU rRNA". It matches the Rfam family "Bacterial small subunit ribosomal RNA", at positions 28 to 529 of the family's 1533-position model. The record is from RNAcentral.